CACAGGGCAGAGCUCUUCCUCACCAUACACUGUCACUGUCAACCAGACCACCUACCAGCCAGGAGACACCAUCCAAGUGACUCUGUCAGGAACCAUCACCUAUAAAGGGUUUCUUCUGGAGGCCCAUGAGGAAGGACAGAACACCGCUGUGGGAACGUUCUCUCUCGGCAGUGGGACUGGGAUCGUUCUUGUGCCUUGCAAUGGGAUCGCAGCCUCUGGGGUGAGUCAAAGCAACAACCAGGCUAAAUCAUCAGUAACAGUCACCUGGACAUCACCAUCCUCAGCCUCAUUGGGCAACAUCGUAGUCAAGUCAACAUUUAUGCAGACCUCCAGGGUAUUUUGGAUUGCAGUGCCUAGCGUGACAGUAAAACGACUGUCCUCAGUUGUCACCACUACAAGAGCUCAAACAACACCAACUCUUGCUCCUACUACAACAACUACAGCUCCUAGUACAACAACUACAGCUCCUUAUACAACAACUACAGGUCCUAGUACAACAACUACAGGUCCUAGUACAACUACAGCUCCUACUACAACAACAACUAUUGCUCAACUACGGCUCCUAAUACAACAACUACAGCUCCUAACACAACAACUACAGGUCC
This is a non-coding RNA of Salvelinus sp. IW2-2015, 605 nucleotides long. Lineage: Eukaryota; Metazoa; Chordata; Actinopteri; Salmoniformes; Salmonidae. The record is from RefSeq and is a predicted model, not a curated record.